CCCUAUCGUCUAGAGGCCUAGGACAUCGCCCUUUCACGGCGGUAACCGGGGUUCGAAUCCCCGUAGGG
Molecule: transfer RNA, 68 nt
Filed under: Acinetobacter baumannii 107m
Lineage: Bacteria; Pseudomonadati; Pseudomonadota; Gammaproteobacteria; Moraxellales; Moraxellaceae
Description: tRNA-OTHER
Rfam family: tRNA
About the family: Transfer RNA (tRNA) molecules are approximately 80 nucleotides in length. Their secondary structure includes four short double-helical elements and three loops (D, anti-codon, and T loops).
Source: RNAcentral